Molecule: ribosomal RNA, 207 nt
Filed under: uncultured bacterium
Lineage: Bacteria
Description: partial 16S ribosomal RNA
Rfam family: Bacterial small subunit ribosomal RNA
Source: RNAcentral
CGUGUAGGCGGUUUGGUAAGUCAGAUGUAAAAGCCCCCGGCUUAACCGGGGAUGGUCAUUUGAAACUGCCGGGCUUGAGUUCGAGAGAGGGUAGCGGAAUUCCCAGUGUAGCGGUGAAAUGCGUAGAUAUUGGGAAGAACACCAGUAGCGAAGGCGGCUACCUGGCUCGUAACUGACGCUAAUGCGCGAAAGCGUGGGGAGCAAACA